UACGUAGGUGGCAAGCGUUGUCCGGAUUUACUGGGCGUAAAGAGCGCGCAGGCGGUCGUUCAAGUCGCGUGUGAAAGCCCCCGGCUCAACCGGGGAGGGUCACGCGAUACUGAUCGACUCGAAGGCAGGAGAGGGAAGUGGAAUUCCCGGUGUAGUGGUGAAAUGCGCAGAUAUCAGGAGGAACACCAAUGGCGAAGGCAGCACUCUGGGACGUGACUGACGCUGAGACGCGAAAGCGUGGGGAGCAAACAGG
This 253-nucleotide ribosomal RNA is filed under the name uncultured bacterium. RNAcentral's name for it is "partial 16S ribosomal RNA". It matches the Rfam family "Bacterial small subunit ribosomal RNA", at positions 524 to 776 of the family's 1533-position model. The record is from RNAcentral.